CUGGUGUCAGCCGCCGCGGUAAUACCAGCACCUCGAGUGGUCAGGAGGUUUAUUGGGCCUAAAGCAUCCGUAGCCGGCUUUGCAAGUCUCCGGUUAAAUCCAGCUGCUCAACAGAUGGGCUGCCGGAGAUACUACAAAGCUAGGGAGCGGGAGAGGUAGACGGUAUUCUGUGGGUAGGGGUAAAAUCCACUGAUCCAUAGAGGACCACCAGUGGCGAAGGCGGUCUACCAGAACGCGUUCGACGGUGAGGGAUGAAAGCUGGGGGAGCAAACCGGAUUAGAUACCCGGGUAGUCCCAGCUGUAAACGAUGCAAACUCGGUGAUGCAUUGGCUUAUGGCCAAUGCAGUGCCGCAGGGAAGCCGUUAAGUUUGCCGCCUGGGAAGUACGGACGCAAGUCUGAAACUUAAAGGAAUUGGCGGGGGAGCACCACAAGGGGUGAAGCCUGCGGUUCAAUUGGAGUCAACGCCAGGAAUCUUACCUGGGGAGACAGCAGAAUGAAGGUCAAGCUGAAGACUUUACCAGACAAGCU
RNAcentral lists this ribosomal RNA (529 nucleotides) under uncultured Nitrososphaerota archaeon. RNAcentral's name for it is "bacterial SSU rRNA". It matches the Rfam family "Archaeal small subunit ribosomal RNA", at positions 452 to 981 of the family's 1478-position model. Lineage: Archaea; Thermoproteati; Nitrososphaerota. The record is from RNAcentral.